AAGUCGUAACAAGGUUUCCGUAGGUGAACCUGCGGAAGGAUCAUUAAAAAAGAUUUAUUAUCACACACGUACUGAAUAACAGAGCCUCGGCGGCUUGCCGCCAAGGAUUAGACAAAACCAAUUUAACUUGUCAACAAACCUAAUAAUCAAAACUUUCAACAACGGAUCUCUUGGUUCUC
RNAcentral lists this unclassified non-coding RNA (179 nucleotides) under fungal sp. RNAcentral describes it as "partial internal transcribed spacer region". The stretch from base 1 to 46 matches the Rfam family "Eukaryotic small subunit ribosomal RNA", at positions 1786 to 1831 of the family's 1831-position model. Lineage: Eukaryota; Fungi. The record is from RNAcentral.